RNAcentral lists this ribosomal RNA (254 nucleotides) under uncultured bacterium. RNAcentral describes it as "partial 16S ribosomal RNA". It matches the Rfam family "Bacterial small subunit ribosomal RNA", at positions 524 to 776 of the family's 1533-position model. The record is from RNAcentral.
CACGUAGGGACCAAGCGUUGUCCGGAUUCAUUGGGCGUAAAGAGCUCGUAGGCGGCUUGGCAAGUCGGGUGUGAAACCUCCAGGCUCAACCUGGAGACGCCACCCGAUACUGCCAUGGCUAGAGUCCGGUAGGGGACCACGGAAUUCCUGGUGUAGCGGUGAAAUGCGCAGAUAUCAGGAGGAACACCGGUGGCGAAGGCGGUGGUCUGGGCCGGCACUGACGCUGAGGAGCGAAAGCGUGGGGAGCGAACAGG